This 497-nucleotide ribosomal RNA is filed under the name uncultured bacterium. RNAcentral describes it as "partial 16S ribosomal RNA". It matches the Rfam family "Bacterial small subunit ribosomal RNA", at positions 28 to 507 of the family's 1533-position model. The record is from RNAcentral.
GACGAACGCUGGCGGCGUGCCUAAUACAUGCAAGUAGAACGCUGAAGAGAGGAGCUUGCUCUUCUUGGAUGAGUUGCGAACGGGUGAGUAACGCGUAUGUAACCUGCCUUGUAGCGGGGGAUAACUAUUGGAAACGAUAGCUAAUACCGCAUAACAAUGGAUGACACAUGUCAUUUAUUUGAAAGGGGCAAUUGCUCCACUACAAGAUGGACCUGCGUUUUAUUAGCUAGUAGGUGAGGUAAUGGCUCACCUAGGCGACGAUACAUAGCCGAACUGAGAGGGGGAUCGGCCAAAAUGGGACUGAGACAAGGCCCAGACUCCUACGGGAGGCAGCAGUAGGGAAUCUUCGGAAAUGUGGGCAACCCUGACCGAGCAAAGCCGAGUGAGUGAAGAAGGAUGUCGGAUCGGAAAGCUCUGUUGUAAGUCAAGAAAGGGUGUGAGAGUGGAAAGUUCACACUGUGACGGUAGCUUAACAGAAAGGGACGGCUAACUACGUG